Molecule: long non-coding RNA, 396 nt
Filed under: Homo sapiens (human)
Lineage: Eukaryota; Metazoa; Chordata; Mammalia; Primates; Hominidae
Description: HSALNT0046293
Source: RNAcentral
UGCUAUUCAAAAACAAAAAGGAAAAUUAUGUAGCAGCUUCCACAUUUUUAAAGACGUGGCAAAAUUUAAUUAAGGGCAAAUAUGUCCUUGCUAGAAGAGUCCAAUAAUGGGUAUAAUUCAGAAUGCAAAGUAAAGCACCAAGUGUGAUGAGUUAGGUAGUCUGUAACAGAAAAGCUCACUUAUUUUCUGGUAGGCAGGGGGCUCUUGGAGCUGAGAGAAAAGGAGAGUUGGAAAAUGGGAAUCUGGAUAGGUACAGUGUGCCACAGCAACAUGGUGGCAGGCCAGAGGCCAAGGCCAGAAAGUUCUAGUAAGCAGUUUCCCCUUGUUGGAGGGAACGGGGGGCGGGCGGUGGUGGUGGUGGAGGAACUGUGAGUAUAGUAUUCUCUUGUGUGCACU